GAAAUGCGAUAAGUAAUGUGAAUUGCAGAAUUCCGUGAAUCAUCGAAUCUUUGAACGCACAUUGCGCCCUCUGGUAUUCCGGGGGGCAUGCCUGUCCGAGCGUCAUUGCAAACCCCUCAAGCACGGCUUGUGUGAUGGGCCCUCCCGCGUCUUGGUCGUCAAGACGGGCCCGAAAAGCAGUGGCGGCUUCGCGGUUAUCCGAUCAGCCAGAGCGUAUGGGGACUUUCUCUCUGUCACACGCCCGCGGCGCGGACCGACGCCUGUCGACCUUUAUUCAUCUUUUUCUCGGUUGACCUCGGAUCAGGUAGGGAUACCCGCUGAACUUAAGC
This 329-nucleotide unclassified non-coding RNA is filed under the name plant metagenome. Its description in RNAcentral is "partial contains 5.8S ribosomal RNA, internal transcribed spacer 2, and large subunit ribosomal RNA". The stretch from base 1 to 105 matches the Rfam family "5.8S ribosomal RNA", at positions 50 to 154 of the family's 154-position model. The record is from RNAcentral.